GAUCCCUAUCAUUAGUUACAGGUAACUAAAGUAUUUGAUUGAUGUUCUUUAGUUUCUUAUGAAAAUUAUUAGUAUUCCAUAUCGUUUUCUAGCAUUUCAUAGUGUCUUUUUUACAUAUUCUACUUUCUUCCCUUCCUGUUAAGGAUGAAUUGAUUAUCUUAUCUAUUGUGUAGAGAUGGGGACAUAUCCCAUGCCCAUAUAUAUAUAUAUAUAUAUAUAUAUAGAGAGAGAGAGAGAGAGAGAGAGAGAGAGAGAGAAGAAGAAGAAGAAGAAGAAGAAGAAGAAGAAGAAGUUGCUUUAGGACUUGUAAUAAUUUUUGAAGCAAUUCAGCUAAAAACUUUGAGACAGGAUUCAUAUUAAAAUUGUUUGGAAUUUUCUUACUGCGUUGCUGGUGGAAGGCUCUAAGAAUAUUUGGCAACGUUUUUUCCAAGUUCUGACCAAACUAAUUUGCCAAUGCAACGCCAAUCUGCCGCGCCCGUCGACGUUGGAUCAUCACUGCGCAGAUCUCGAAGCAUUCCGAACUGCUGCACAGAUCUUAAAGUGAAAUGGGGACGGGCCGGACGGUACGACGGAACGUGUGCGAAGGAUACAACCGGGAUCCCUCGGCCACGCGCGAAUCUUCACAUGGCUCAGUGAAUCGGACGGUUUCGCAUGCGACAAGACCAUCAAAUGGUCUUUUGGGCGAAACACCUAACUGGAGCUUCUUAUUUUUAUUUUCUUUUUUCCAAACCGAAGUAAAACAAAAUUAUUCCAAAAAGGAGCUUUUUUUUUUUUUUUUCUCGAUCACUUCUCAACUCCUCAUUCGCCUUUUCAAAUUUCUUUCCCGUCCGUUUCGAAAUCUCUAGUCCCGCCGCUCUCUCACUCCUUCCCCCAUCACUCGCGGAUGAUCUAGCUAGCAAUGGACUGGUUUGGAGUUAAUCUUUGAUUUCUGGUGCAGAUGGAGCGGCUCAACUCCGAUAUAUAUGAAAAGUACAAGAAUUUGAAGAAGAGGAAGUUAUUUGAUGAGGAGUGCAGCCGUAAAAGAGAUUCCGAUAUAAGGAACUAUCAAUCAGCAAAAGAGCUCUCUAAUGAAGUUGGGAGGCUUCAGAAUCUUUUGUCGCAGAAGAAUGAUGUUAAUGACAUUGCACUGCUGAGGUCUCCUAAAACAAAUCAUAGAGUCCGAUCAAGAGAGAAAUUCAGAACUCCACCAAAAAAGAAACAAAACUCAUGCACCAAGGAAAGCAGAAUCCAAGAUGAAGAGGCAGCUAUUGUUCCUUAUGGUAGUUGUCAAGAGGAGCAGAUUGUGGUUUUCAGCCAGAGUGCUGCAGAAGAUACUUGGCCUGCUCAGGAGAUGCAGCAGGAAAAAGGUCAGAACGAUUGUGUGUUUCAGACUCUUGUUGAGUUCUUAGUUGGCAUGGAAUUUUCCAUAGACAGUCAAACCAAAGGGCUAACAUGUUCAGUUGUUCACCAAAUUACUGAAUGCGGAUGUCCAUCUGUUAGUUCUAGAAAGGAACCAACAGAAGUGUCCAAAACUGAAGAAACUACCCAGAAGUGGAAACCAAAACUGAAGAUGCAUCCAUUUGUUAGCUUUAGAAAGGAACCAACAGAAGUGGACACCAAGACUAGAAAGGAACCAACAGAAUUGGGAACCAGAACUGAUGAAACUACCGAAACUCAGAAGUGGAAACCAAAACUGAAGAAACUACUGAAACAUCUCAGUCCAGGCUUGUAUUGAAACCAUGUUCUCAAAUCUUGCUGCAAAAUUCACUUUCAUAAUACUAUAGCAGGCAGAGAUGGCAUGUCCCAACUUUUGUCCCUUGUAGCUUCAUUAGGGGACUAAAUGUUUUCAAGUUGUGAUUUCAUCUGAGCUGUUCAGCUUCCUUUAAUUGUUAUGGCACAAAAUCAUGGACUUUCUCAAGUAAGGCAGACUAAUUGAAUUUAUAGUGUGUGAGAGCUUACCUUUGUUAUCCUCAAAUGCUAUUGGACCAUGAACUCUGGUUGGCACUUGUUUUGGCUUGUGUAAGAGCUCAUUAUUGUUUUCUGACUGUAAAGAUGACUUAUAGGAAUUGUAUAACUUCAUAUCUUGCUGCAAAAUUCACAUUCAUAAUAACUAAGGUAGGCAGAGAUGGCAUAUCCUAGCUUUUAUCCCUUAUAGCUUCAUUAAGGGGCUAAAUGUUGCGAGUUGUGAUUUCAUCUGAGCUGUUCAGCUUCUUUUUAUUGCUAUGGCCUGAAAUCAUGGACUUUCUCAACAGAGGAAAACUAAUUGAAUUUACUGCCAUUCGCUAUUUUCUUCAUGUGACAUGCUUCAGUACUGUGUGAGAGCUUACCUUUGUUACCCUCAAAUCCUAUUGGACCAUGAACUAUGGUUAGCACUCGUUUUGGCAUGUGUAAGAGCUCAUUAUUGUUUUCUGACUGUAAAGAUGACCUAUAGGAAUUGUAUAACUAGUUCUCUCCCUAUUGACCUAUUUUAAUCUUCAAUUUAUGUUGAACCAGACCUUGCACAGACAAUUUAUUAUUUUACCAACCUUUCUUUGUGGUAGAUUGAGGGGUAGAGAAGCUCUAGUCCAGGGAAAAGGUUAAGCCAGAGAUGCUAAAUAGAGAGUUCUAUAUGCAUUGAGGUUUUUAUCUUUUCACAGGUUGCCUAUGCAACAUAUUUAAGCUCGCCAAUCAUGGCUACUAGAAUGUGGAGCAUAAGUUCAGCAAAUUCUGUUGCAUUUAUUGGCUAUGCUUUCAGCCUAACAUGGAUAAGACAUGAAGAUCGAGAAGGUGAGCUGAUGUACCAUGUUUCUUCACUGGGGACGCUAAAGGGAAUAGCUCUAGAUUGGAUGAAGGAAGAUAUGAUUUUCAGCAUGA
This is a non-coding RNA of Phoenix dactylifera (date palm), 2832 nucleotides long. Lineage: Eukaryota; Viridiplantae; Streptophyta; Magnoliopsida; Arecales; Arecaceae. The record is from RefSeq and is a predicted model, not a curated record.